Molecule: ribosomal RNA, 305 nt
Filed under: uncultured bacterium
Lineage: Bacteria
Description: bacterial SSU rRNA
Rfam family: Bacterial small subunit ribosomal RNA
Source: RNAcentral
UGCCCUACGGGAGGCAGCAGUGGGGAAUAUUGCACAAUGGGGGAAACCCUGAUGCAGCAACGCCGCGUGAGUGAAGAAGUCAUUCGUGAUGUAAAGCUCUAUCAGCAGGGAAGAAAAUGACGGUACCUGACUAAGAAGCUCCGGCUAAAUACGUGCCAGCAGCCGCGGUAAUACGUAUGGAGCAAGCGUUAUCCGGAUUUACUGGGUGUAAAGGGAGCGUAGGCGGCUCUGUAAGUCUGAUGUGAAAAUUUGGGGCUCAACCCCAAACGUGCAUUGGAAACUGCAGGGCUUGAGUGCCGGAGAGG